GAUGUCACAACCUAGCUCUAAGAGUGGAAUAUAAAACUUUUAUAUGAUGAUUUCAUAAUUAUGAUAUAUAUUGGAUAAAAGUCAGACUGAAAAACCAAGAGGCCCUAAGGGGCGGCGGUCCCCAUCCCUGUCAACCCAAGCACACAAUUAAUUGACAAUAACCAAAGAUUUGGAUUACCAAUUAGGGAGUCGCCCGCAUUAUGACCUGGGAAUCUUCAUCGUUAUAUACGGGAGCCUUAUUUUUACUUUCACCACAGUCUAGUCUAACUUCAAUUUUAAGGGAAAAUCAAAAUGUCUCCAAUUGCCCAGCCAGCUUAUCAAAGACCCACAUAAAGGCCUUGUGAAAAGACCUGCAAAACUGCUUGUGAGGAUGAGGAUUUGAUGCCACUCGAUUUUGCACUUUUAGCAUAGGAGAGAGUUUAUUGGUGGUGGGAAUAGGGAUUCAGCAAAAGUCUUCUCUUAAAGGUCUGUUGCUUGAUUCACAUAGACUUCCAACUUUCCCUCCCAGUGGAUUCCCAUGUA
RNAcentral lists this long non-coding RNA (522 nucleotides) under Eucalyptus grandis. RNAcentral describes it as "long non-coding RNA (EGRA_LNC001947)". The record is from RNAcentral. Lineage: Eukaryota; Viridiplantae; Streptophyta; Magnoliopsida; Myrtales; Myrtaceae.